This 253-nucleotide ribosomal RNA is filed under the name uncultured bacterium. RNAcentral's name for it is "partial 16S ribosomal RNA". It matches the Rfam family "Bacterial small subunit ribosomal RNA", at positions 524 to 776 of the family's 1533-position model. The record is from RNAcentral.
UACGAAGGGUGCGAGCGUUAAUCGGAAUUACUGGGCGUAAAGCGUGCGCAGGCGGCUUUGCAAGACAGAUGUGAAAUCCCCGGGCUCAACCUGGGAACUGCGCUUGUGACUGCAAGGCUAGAGUACGGCAGAGGGGGAUGGAAUUCCGCGUGUAGCAGUGAAAUGCGUAGAUAUGCGGAGGAACACCGAUGGCGAAGGCAAUCCCCUGGGCCUGCACUGACGCUCAUGCACGAAAGCGUGGGGAGCAAACAGG